GGAGUCAGGACGCCGAGUGUAAGUGGAGAGAGAGUUGCGGCCAGCGGCGGAUCUACACAGUGGACUGAACGGUGGCAGGAGGUGAGAGCAGAGUCUAAACUGGGGUUUCAGUUCGCCGUUCGUCGUCGUCGUCCAAGGGCACAGCGGUACUCGACCUACCCCUUCGCCCCCAACCCACCCCUCUCGGGCGUGACAGCCUCUUCUGCUUGCUCCCGACCGCCGGGGCCUCGAUGGAGGUGAUGGAGCGGCGGCGUAGGUCAGGCUGGGACGGAGGACGUUCGUGCCGCUGAAGAAGCUGUGGCAGACCCGCCCGGUGCUCGAUUGGUGCGGGUUAGAGAAGUCCAGUCAUGUGAUGUCAUCCGUUAAACCCUAUAAAAAAAACUUUGACUUUAACUCCUUUAAAACUGUGUUAACUCACACCUCUGUUAACUCACACCUCUGACUCAACAAACCAAUUAAUCAAUUAGUCCUGCAUGUGGUCUCUGUUAAACAGCGUUGUAACUGUGCUAAUACACUACAUCUCUAUUACUCUAUACGAGUACAAAAUGACGAUGAGCUUGGGACUAUACAUAGCACCAAAAGCACCCUAUUAUAUUAACUCAGGCAAGUUAGGCAACUCCUCCGGAGCACCAAUAGAAAAAAAAAAGUGCAAAGAGCGCAUCACCAAUCACGGGUGGAGCGUCGGCACCUGAGGACAAUGGCUUAAUAAACCGCUAGACCGCGACUAAAGAACCGCGCCGGUGGUUUUUAAAGAGCGCGCGGCCGCGUGGUGCGUGGUUUAGUCCAGGAUUUGAUUGGCGGUAUCAGAGGACCAGGAGAAACUUUUGUUUGUGCAGGAGCAAGAGGUUUGGUUAGAUCGAACUCCCCACGGGCCGCAGGGAGACGAAGGUGAGGCCGCCCACCAGUCCUUUAGGAGACGAAGGAGACGCUACCGGCUAGUUAGCCGUGCGUCGCUAGUGUCACCCCGCGGUGCCAUAGUAAGAGAAGAGGGAGGGGUAAGGGGAGAGAGGAGCAGAGACAGUGUGGGGGAACUCAUGAAGAGAAGAAAAGACAGAGCGCACUAACACGACUAACAGGUAAUAAACAUGUAACGUUAAAGAAAAGACGUGCUAGGUAGUCAUAACCAAACAACCGCCAAGUAUUAAAAUCAAACCGUUCAAAAGAACAACAUGCUCAACUAGAACAAAGGAAAGAAAAGAAAGAUUUGGUACAAUCGGCCCUUGAUUAAUACAUUCUUUGCCUCUCUUAUAAACAUCUUGGAAUUUAGAUCCUAAGUCGACCAUACGAGUGUUUUUCCAAUACAAAAUACACAAAUGAUGUUAUCGUUGAAUACAGGUUGCUCAUACACGAAGACUACCGGUACUUAUUGGACUUCUCAAGGGAGUCAAAGACCAAGUCUUUCAACUUUAUCCAUAAUUAUUUGAACGUGUAAUCAAUCGAACAAACCUAUCUCGAGGAUUACUGGUAGAACAAUCAAUACCGGUUACAUCCGGUUUAUAUCUUAACAAACUAACUAAAAGAGUAACAAUGAUAUAUUAAUUAUAUAUAGUGUGAAAUACAAGUACUAAUUUAGGUUACGAAUAUGAUAUGGAGGAUGAAGGUAAGAUGUAAAAACAUCGUUACAUCUACAGCUGGCAUCAACCUACAUGUUUCUCUCUGCUCCCUUCAACUAGUCACUACGAACCGUUGUACCUCAUCUAUUAAAGGAUCUAGUACGUAAGAGUAACGGGCUACGACGACAUCUACCCUUUAGGGUAACAGGAACGUCGUUCACGAAAACGCCAGUAUUCACCUGUUCCCUACAGUACUGGUGUGUGAACACGUCGUUACCCAAGUACAAUCCUAUACUCUCUACCUGAUCGGUGCCCCUCAGACUACGUGGACUUUUACAUCUCGUACUAUUGCACCCCCUACCUCUAUCUUACUUACUGUACGAUCAACUACGUUAACAACGACUUCCUCAAAGAUUUCCACUACUCGGUUGUUUUAGACGGUUUAUUAAGAUACUUUACAACUACCUUCGGCUGUUUGCAAACGUACUCUUCUGGUGUGUUAGUGCAGAUAGGUAACAUCCUUCCGAUUACUGAUAAUUUUGUGUUGUAUUAGACAGUCUUCGAACAAUGUUACUCUACUACUGAGAGUAUGUACUGUAACAACCCCUGCUACGACGUUUUCUAGAGGGUCGUUUGAAGGUAUCCAGGUACUUCGAACACGUAUCAGAUCGUUACGGAAUGCAGUUUUAAAUACGUACGGGGUUAUUAACAUACUAAAUAAUAUUUCUCUUACUUUUAUUUCUUUUUACGUGAUAGACGUUUCUUGGAUCUAUACUCCUUUGUUGGCGUCCUUUAUUUAGAUGCUUCUAUGGUUCUUUUCAAAACGCGAUAGAGGGUUAAUGAGGAUCCGAUGUUGCCAACAUGUACAGUGUUUCGUGACGGUUCGUGUACCUGAUAGUGCGUUCCGGAGUAUUGUCGCUACUUCAUUACCAAGUGGGAAGAGUACCACUUCGAACCUUCCUUAAAUUAUUCCUUAAAUUUUUUAAACGACUCCUUCAUUCCUUAUAUUCCGAUACAGAUCGCUGACUGCCGAAGUGUGGAAAACUUUAAUUUCGUCGGAGGAUGAGUACAACCGGUCAUAAACAACAUGGAAUAUUAGAAGGUGGUCUUUACACGUACUUCGUCUCAUUGGACUAGGAACGUGAUCAAUAAGGGCCAGGUCUAGUAGGUCCUUUCUUGGAUUUGCAAAAAUACGUCGGAGAUCAACUGCUUGAACUACUAAACACCUCUUUACCACAUCUUUGAAUACUAUCAAUAGCUUUCGUUUUAAAGUGGAACUUCCGUCCAAACGAAACCUGAUAAGUACUGAAAGGUCGAAUACCUAAUCAUCGUACGAUCUCGUGAGUACCUUUCGAACGAACGGGAUAUACACCUAGACUGUAUUUCUGUAAGAGUAACUUCUUACCCUCUUUCGGUACGACCAAACUAACGGUAUCCUCUAAGGAAGGGUGACUGGUACGUAAAGCAUCCUCACACUUUACAAAAGCGUUCUUUUUUUGUCAAAAUCUAGGAGGUGGUUUCGGGAACAGGCCUCUUCUCCACAUACUUCUUGAGGUUUCAGAACAGGUACUACUUUGACCGUUCUCAUUUAAACUCCCCAAACCCUUCCUCGUGUUAACCUAUCGAUAUUCACCAAACACCGUCGAUCUCAUAAAAGCCUUCAACGACGAAGCGGUAUUGUAACUACAUUACGUGUUACUCUUUUUACAUAGACUCCGAAAUGAUUUGUGUACGGAACUAUAAGGACUCUUUUGAUUCCUAUUGUUGUUUCGUGCGGAACUACAACGAAACAUAACACUAACUGGUUUCGAUGUGGACUUGUUCUUAAGUUCCCCACACACCUUCUUUGGAUCUCGCUUUAUAACACAGUCGUUCCUUCUAUCUUACUGGUAGGAAUUCACCAAAUUUCUUCACUUCAAAAGACUACCCAAACGACGAUUAAACUCAUUUUGACAGUUGAACUCAUUUUUGUUUAAGUAACCCGAUUUUUCGGUACUGGUGGUGUAGUAGUACCUCGCGGAGGACGGUCAACGGGAUGCUCCGAAGUAGGGUCUUGGACUUACCUUCCAGUAUCGUCUCAAUUCAAAAAAAAUAGCCGUUAACACACGGUUUCUUUAACGAGGUUUUGCCUACGCACUUGAACUCCUCCUCCAAGGACAAGAUAAUACGUUCGAACUCUUUUACAAGGGUGGUCCGAAGAAGUUACAUUACGUUGUGGACUAUCACGUAGAAGGUAUACUCCGUUCCCAACCGCCGGGACACCGUAUAGCAACCUACAUACAAAAACUCUCCCGUUACGUGAUAGAAGCAAAUUUUCACGCUUUGUUCCGUUCUCACCUCCCAAGUUAGCAACUUCGAACAUAGCACGUCCUCUAGUGCUUAACACAAAGAGAAAUGAAAUCACUAGCGCAAGCGUGAUAUACCUUCUUCUUAGGAGCUAUAUUAUUACCUCCUUGUGCGCACGUCUUACUACCAACGUGGAAUCUACACAAAGUCGUACAUCCUUUGGAUGUACCCUCCGGAUAACGGGCUCUUGAUAGCGCACUGCUCAACUUACGUCGUUCCGACAUGUAAAACUGAUUGACGAGACGACAACUAUCUAAAGCACUUUGUAAACUUCUACUUUUUAUACGUUCAGUAGGUUUGAACUGUAGCCUCCCGGAACUACUUUACUACCGUAGGCUUAAACACCUUACCAAGCUCUAACGAACGUUUCUUCUAGGAUUAAGACUACUCCUGAACACCUUAAAUCGAUUACCUACGUCGAGAUCUCGGAUAAGGAUAUCGAGGAUACUACACUUACCGAAAGCGAAAUCUAGUCUCUAUAGACUUUUUUUUGCAUCUUCCAACUUUUGCCACUUGUGUCCCCAAACAAACAGUAGGUGGCGGUUAACCAGGUUUUUUACUAGUCUUUGGCCAUAACACAACCCUCCUGAUGUUCACCAGGGGACCAGGUCUUCAUUCUUGUCGUCGAAGGUUUUAUCACCUUCUUAAAACCACCGCAAAGUUCACGCUGGGUAGCCUCGUUCUCUUCCGUCUACCACAAAACCUCCUCUUGAAUUGAUCCUUUCACUUCGUCUACGAUGUACUCCUUUUCCGCCGUCGGUAUUUUUAUAAUUUCUUCUUCCCUGUUAACGGAUGUCUUGAUUGUUUUCUCCUACUCCUACCAUUGGCGACCGGUUGAUUCCUUCGAAAUUAAAGACGUUUCUCUCAACUGAAACCUUGUCUGCAACCAACCGCAGAUGAUACACUCGUGACCUGAUCAUGACCUAAAUCUCCCAAUAGAAAUUGGUUGUUCUCCUUGUCUGAACGAUUACCCUUGUGACAGAAGGUAACGUCACCACGAUCUUUACAACAGCGGUGCGCAGUUAAAGACUUUGAGUUUUGGCCCUUUCUGGGACCUUAAAGACCACGAACCGAAGUGUGCGUGUUUAACGUAGCUCCCUGACUACUUCUCGUCUAUACGUCAGUUUCUUGACGACUAGUAACCCUCCUAAAACUAUUCCGUUACUUUUUACGGGUACCUCUUUUAACCCUUCUCCUCGUGGGCCUAAAUCUACCUGUCUAGUAGAUACUUCGUAGUCCGUCUUACGGUGUACCGUCCGACCCUUAACGAUUACUCAACAAAUCGUUUCGUCUCUUCCGCUUCAAAUUCAGAUUUUCCCGCUACCGGAGUGUCGGCCACGUCAGACGAUUCCUCCUCGCAGAUCUUUCUCUUUUGUUUGUAAACUUCGUCCUCUAGUUCGCAGAAGCUCCGUAACUCGAACAACAAGUCAGAAACCGACUCUUUCCCCCUCAGCUGAAACUACCGUAUUACGUUAGUCGUCGUCUACUGAACAGAGGUAGUAUAAGACUUCCACCUAAAGUUUCCCCUGCUCCACUACACGGAGUUGUGGUUUGGCUUUUCCCUUACCCUUCGUCCUGACCUCCGUCAUGCUCAGUACCUUUACUACUACUCCUACUGAUGAUACCGUUACCCCCUAUACUAUUGAUACCGCUCCCACUAGACAUACCACUACUCGUGAUACUAGUGAUACCGGUACCCCUUAUACUACUGAUACCUCUACUCCUACUGAUACCGAUACCGCCACCGCUACCGCUACUACUACUAACCGAUAUUUUCAGAUUACUAUAAGUUCAGUACGGUUUUACAUCAAUACAAUCUAUAAACUUUGUGAAAUAAUAGAAUACCUGUUUAAACAGAAUCAACUGUUAAAUAGAAUACGUGUUACACCGGUUAGAGUCAAUGAUAAAACAAGACGUAAGCUGUAAACUAUUAAUACCAAUUACGUUAAACCUACGUUGAGUUAUGGAACACGAACACAUACUCUACGUAAACAACCUUACGGUUAUAAGACUUAAUAACGAUACCUUACUUUGUGGG
Molecule: ribosomal RNA, 5937 nt
Filed under: Triticum aestivum (bread wheat)
Lineage: Eukaryota; Viridiplantae; Streptophyta; Magnoliopsida; Poales; Poaceae
Description: partial small subunit ribosomal RNA
Source: RNAcentral